ACUGUAUAAAAGAGAGUAUAAACUGUCAAGAGAGACAACCUCACACACUUCACUCAGAAUAAAAGAGGCUCACAUAAGUGAUCCCGCAACAUUAUGUCUCACAAAGUCUCCCCCAAACGAAACUCUCAAACCCCUAGGACUACAUUGUGAAUGCUACAAAACUAGAAGAAAGGAGUUUCUAUUUAUAGAGUUUAUAACAUUUUCCUACGAGAAUAAGGAUUAGCCAAAUAUGAAGAAUAUAUUUUCCUUUUCCCAAAAGGAAAAUCCAAUUAUGGUACCUAAAGGAAAACCCAAAUAUGGUAAGAAAGUCAAGAUAAAUACCAAUAAUUCUCUCCCUUGGCCUGAAUUUCUAUCUUUAUGUAGUCUUCAAUAAGUUCAAUUUCCUUCUCCAAAAUUUCCUCCAUUAAUUUUUGCUUCUACACAGAGUAACACUCUGAUAAAAUUUCUCAAAUUAAAAUCUUCAUUAUCGUCAAAUAGGUUGUGACUAGAACUGAAUCUGCCAAGAUGAACACCCGAUUUUAACCUCGCUUUGAUACCACUUGUCAGAACCGAAAUAAUCAGGUGUCAUGCGGAAGCUAGCAAAGCAAACCGCGAAAGACACCACAUAAGAAGAUAAACGAGAAAUUCACCAAAAGAGACAAUAAUUUAACGUAGUUCAGUCAGUCGACCUACAUCCACAAAAGGAGAUGAGCAAUCCACUAGAGACAACCUCACACAAUUCACUCAGAAUAAAAGACGCUCACACAAGUGAUCCCGCAACACUUGUGUCUCACAAAAUCUCUCCCCAAACGAAACUCUCAAACCCCUAGG
This 810-nucleotide long non-coding RNA is filed under the name Capsicum annuum. RNAcentral's name for it is "long non-coding RNA (CANN_LNC009603)". The record is from RNAcentral. Lineage: Eukaryota; Viridiplantae; Streptophyta; Magnoliopsida; Solanales; Solanaceae.